ACAUGAAAAUUAAUUAACCUUGACAUAGGUUCCACCUCGACAGCCAAAACAGACAGUACUACCACAGUACAAACAACCACAAACGAAACAACAACUGGAGAGCCUACAGUCUUAAACGAUGGAACUAUUGCUGGUAUUUCAGUUGCAGCAAAUUUAGUGGCCGUAGUCAUUGUAGUUCUUGCCGUAUAGUCAAAACGGAGGAAGAUAAAAGCAAGGGACUAACGAUCCCAAUGUCUAAUUAAAAGAGCAUCAGAACCAUCUUACUGCAAUUUUUUACUGCAAUUUUUUACUGCAAUUUUUUACUGCAAACCAGUGAAUGUGAUUUUAAACCACCGGACUAGUCUUAUUGAGUAUGGCUAUCCAGCCAUAUAUAACUUGAUUUCGUUAAGUUUUUGCACAGGAGCUUUACAUUCGAUUACAAGAUUAGAGUGCAAACACUAAAAGUGUGAAAGUGCAGUACAUUUUAAAUAUAUUUUUCCGAAUGCGGAACUAAAAAAUAAAUAAAUAAAUAAAUCUUUUUAUGCACAUAUCAACCACUUUUUGUGAACACACUGAAAAAUGUUACGUUUCAAUUUCGAGACCGUUGGAUACGAUUCCAAAUCUUGAGAUUUCAGGUACACAGUAUAGUACACGGCCCUGUUUGUGUUUUUCAUAUUUUUUGCGUUUGCACUCUAUAAACAUCAAUACUUUAUCUUAAUAACGAUGUAACAAUACGAAGGAGCGAUUGACCUCCUGCCCACUUGCACCGUUGUGAUCCAUGCCACAACCUGAAAAACUCUAUCAUUUUGUUUUGUAUUUCUUCAUUGUUUGUUUCAACAAAUUGGAUUGUGGAUUGCAAAUAUUUUUUAUAGUAGGAAUAAAUACUAAUUCGAAGUUUACCAGCAGUUAAGGUACGGUAAUACGAGCAGAAAAAUCGUACAACUUUUGUGUAUGCUUUCAAACCUUCUUCCAAUGCCUUCGUCACUUUGCACACAGAAGACACAGAAGUAUUCUAAAUGGUCAUGUGUCACAAUACAUUUUAAGUUGUUUAGAAGCAAUUUUUAACUUAAUUAGUUCGUCUCCCCAUUCUCUGUUACACGGAAAGUUUUUUUUAAAUAGCACGUUAUUUUAUGGAGUUAUUUACAAAAAACGCUAAAAUACAAUCUUGGACAAAAAGAGUUGAGAAUUAUUUUAAUGCCG
Long non-coding RNA from Exaiptasia diaphana, 1179 nucleotides. RefSeq lists it as uncharacterized. Lineage: Eukaryota; Metazoa; Cnidaria; Anthozoa; Actiniaria; Aiptasiidae. The record is from RefSeq and is a predicted model, not a curated record. The transcript has 4 exons.